This 520-nucleotide ribosomal RNA is filed under the name uncultured Glomus. Its description in RNAcentral is "SSU rRNA". It matches the Rfam family "Eukaryotic small subunit ribosomal RNA", at positions 569 to 1091 of the family's 1831-position model. Lineage: Eukaryota; Fungi; Glomeromycota; Glomeromycetes; Glomerales; Glomeraceae. The record is from RNAcentral.
AGCAGCCGCGGUAAUUCCAGCUCCAAUAGCGUAUAUUAAAGUUGCUGCAGUUAAAAAGCUCGUAAUUGAAUUUCGGGACUAAUAUGUCGGUCGUGCCUCGGUACGUACUGGUAUUUUUGGUUUCUCCCUUCUGACGAACCUUGAUGUCAUUAAUUUGGUGUCUUGGGAAAUCAGGACUGUUACUUUGAAAAAAUUAGAGUGUUUAAAGCAGGCUUACGCUUGAAUACAUUAGCAUGGAAUAAUGAAAUAGGACGUUUGAUUCUAUUUUGUUGGUUUCUAGGAUUGACGUAAUGAUUAAUAGGGAUAGUUGGGGGCAUUAGUAUUCAAUUGUCAGAGGUGAAAUUCUUGGAUUUAUUGAAGACUAACUACUGCGAAAGCAUUUGCCAAGGAUGUUUUCAUUAAUCAAGAACGAAAGUUAGGGGAUCGAAGACGAUCAGAUACCGUCGUAGUCUUAACCAUAAACUAUGCCGACUAGGGAUCGGAUGAUGUUAAUUUUUUAAUGACUCAUUCGGCGCCUUAC